AAUGUGACGUUACCAAACUGUUGCCUCGGCGGGAUCUCUGCCCCGGGUGCGUCGCAGCCCCGGACCAAGGCGCCCGCCGGAGGACCAACCAAAACUCUUAUUGUAUACCCCCUCGCGGGUUUUUUUUAUAAUCUGAGCCUUCUCGGCGCCUCUCGUAGGCGUUUCGAAAAUGAAUCAAAACUUUCAACAACGGAUCUCUUGGUUCUGGCAUCGAUGAAGAACGCAGCGAAAUGCGAUAAGUAAUGUGAAUUGCAGAAUUCAGUGAAUCAUCGAAUCUUUGAACGCACAUUGCGCCCGCCAGUAUUCUGGCGGGCAUGCCUGUCCGAGCGUCAUUUCAACCCUCGAACCCCUCCGGGGGGUCGGCGUUGGGGAUCGGCCCUGCCUUGGCGGUGGCCGUCUCCGAAAUACAGUGGCGGUCUCGCCGCAGCCUCUCCUGCGCAGUAGUUUGCACACUCGCAUCGGGAGCGCGGCGCGUCCACAGCCGUUAAACACCCAACUUCUGAAAUGUUGACCUCGGAUCAGGUAGGAAUACCCGCUGAACUUAAGCAUAUCAAUAAGCGGAGGA
This 565-nucleotide ribosomal RNA is filed under the name Trichoderma harzianum. RNAcentral describes it as "eukaryotic LSU rRNA". The stretch from base 179 to 332 matches the Rfam family "5.8S ribosomal RNA". The record is from RNAcentral. Lineage: Eukaryota; Fungi; Ascomycota; Sordariomycetes; Hypocreales; Hypocreaceae.